GUUUGGCACCUCGAUGUCGGCUCAUCUCAUCCUGGGGCUGUAGUCGGUCCCAAGGGUAUGGCUGUUCGCCAUUUAAAGAGGUACGUGAGCUGGGUUUAAAACGUCGUGAGACAGUUUGGUCCCUAUCUUCCGUGGGCGCUGCAGAUUUGAGGAAGCCUGCUCCUAGUACGAGAGGACCGGAGUGGACGCACCUCUGGUGUA
RNAcentral lists this ribosomal RNA (201 nucleotides) under Pseudopedinella elastica. RNAcentral describes it as "partial Bacterial large subunit ribosomal RNA". It matches the Rfam family "Bacterial large subunit ribosomal RNA", at positions 2516 to 2716 of the family's 2925-position model. Lineage: Eukaryota; Dictyochophyceae; Pedinellales. The record is from RNAcentral.